Molecule: long non-coding RNA, 564 nt
Filed under: Calidris pugnax (ruff)
Lineage: Eukaryota; Metazoa; Chordata; Aves; Charadriiformes; Scolopacidae
Description: lncRNA (ENSCPUG00000019180.1)
Source: RNAcentral
CAGAGGACUUGUAUCGAGACAGUGUAAGUCAACAUAACUCAGUUUGUUUUGCCUUAAUUAAUAUUUUUUCAUUAAUAGACGAUUUUUGUAAACAUUUUGAAGUCCCAUUAAAUUACCCCAAGAUCCCCUGCUGUCUAUCAUUGCAAUAGUCUUAUGAUAGUGCUGCAUCUGCAACUAACAAGUGUACUCAAAUUCCUUUCCACUCUUUUUAUACAGGUUAUUUUACAUUCACAAACAAUGGCUUAACUGAAGGAUAACAGGGCAAGGACUCUCACUUUGAUCUGGGUUUAUAUUGUCCCUAACAAUGUAAGACCUUGAUCCACAGUGUUUCAGAUCAAGUCCCCUGCACUUGCCAGAGCAGUUCAGAUCAAGGGAGAAGCAUUUUUGCAGAAGUAAAGGCAGACUGUUACUUGGCGAUUGAAACAGCAUUCACAGAAAGGGGUUUACAAAUCUCGUCUUGCAAGGAAGCCGAAAGCAGAGAAGACUGAGGUUUCGCGCAGUCGAAAUGCUUCUUACCAAGGAAGUUCCAUAAUUGCUGCAAAAAGGCAACUGUAAGUCAGCCUG